AUGACGCUUAAGCUCUUGGCGGAAGUGAGCCCGCAGGAGUUGCUCGUAGCUCUUGCGGAGCUCCAGAACCACGUGCUCGGCUACGUCAAGUCCAUGUCGCUCAAGUGCGCCGUGGACCUCGGCAUCACCGACGCCAUCCACCGCCGCGGCGGCACCGCCACCCUGGCCGACAUCGCAGCCGACACGAAGGUGCACCCGGCCAGGGUCGCCGACCUCCGGCACGUCUUGGAGCUGCUCAGCGAGUCGGGCAUCUUCAGCGCCACCUCCCUCGCCGCUGCCCUCCUUUCUCUGUUGCCGUGGCUCGAACCAACGAAGAAGAAAGGGAAAAAGGAGGAAGAACAGGGACACGGCAAGGAUUUUCCGACCCACGAACGCCUUCAACCUUGA
Molecule: ribosomal RNA, 387 nt
Filed under: Triticum aestivum (bread wheat)
Lineage: Eukaryota; Viridiplantae; Streptophyta; Magnoliopsida; Poales; Poaceae
Description: partial small subunit ribosomal RNA
Source: RNAcentral